Molecule: ribosomal RNA, 466 nt
Filed under: uncultured bacterium
Lineage: Bacteria
Description: partial 16S ribosomal RNA
Rfam family: Bacterial small subunit ribosomal RNA
Source: RNAcentral
GACGAACGCUGGCGGCGCGCCUAACACAUGCCAGUCGAACGAGCGAGCGAGAGCUUGCUUUCUCAAGCGAGUGGCGAACGGGUGAGUAACGCGUGAGGAACCUGCCUCAAAGAGGGGGACAACAGUUGGAAACGACUGCUAAUACCGCAUAAGCCCACAGGUCGGCAUCGACCAGAGGGAAAAGGAGCAAUCCGCUUUGAGAUGGCCUCGCGUCCGAUUAGCUAGUUGGUGAGGUAACGGCCCACCAAGGCAACGAUCGGUAGCCGGACUGAGAGGUUGAACGGCCACAGUGGGACUGAGACACGGCCCAGACUCCUACGGGAGGCAGCAGUGGGGAAUAUUGCACAAUGGGGGAAACCCUGAUGCAGCGACGCCGCGUGGAGGAAGAAGGUCUUCGGAUUGUAAACUCCUGUUGUUGAGGAAGAUAAUGACGGUACUCAACAAGGAAGUGACGGCUAACUACGUG